Molecule: long non-coding RNA, 296 nt
Organism: Vidua macroura (Pin-tailed whydah)
Lineage: Eukaryota; Metazoa; Chordata; Aves; Passeriformes; Viduidae
Exons: 2
Source: RefSeq, a predicted model, not a curated record
UGAAGGCUUCUGAUGAACAGAGCAAGAGUCUUCCCCAAGGAACAUCUUCAGCAGAAACCAAAUAGUUGGCUGGAUUAACUGGCUGUCAUUCAGAGGGAACUUGGCAGAUCUACUUUGCUUUUGUUGAACCUCUCCACAGCACAUCAUAAAGAUUUCCUAGGUCCAGAAGCUACAGAAAAGACAACUAAGCAGCAGAAAAAUGUGACUCUGAGAAGAGACUUCAAGCCUUCUGAUGAUGAAUUUUCUACUGAUCAGUUCUCAUUUAAAUAUAUAACUGAAGCAUGCAUAAAAGUUAA